GACCACCGAGAAUGCGUUGGAGAUCAUGGCAGCUGCCGAUAUGUUGCUGCUGAACGACUGCAUCGAUAGAUGUAUGCAAAUCGUCAAGCUGAAUCGUCAAGCUGAAUCGUCAAGCUUGAAAACAGCCUAAGCUUGGUCCCUGUCAGCAAGCAGCUCGGCUGGCCAGGUUUCAGAGAAUUCAUCACGGGAUUCGUCCUCGAGCAUUUCGACAAGUGAGCUGGACGCAUUCUGCAAAGUGUGUCCAGCACUGGGCCAGAGCCUCGCUUAUCGUGAGGCUGUUUCGGAAGCAUUCGCCCGUGGUGUGCGCGCCAAUUCCGUUCCUGGCAAAUUAUGCAAUACCAGAACCUGCAACACCAGCGGAUGAAGCUGCAGUGACCGGAGUUGCGGCCCUACUUGCCACUGACCUAGCAGCUGCUUCUGGAAAUGAUGCCGACACGAAUGCAGAGUAGACAUGGAGCAAGAAGAUGGCGACGCAGGUUUGACUGAUCUUCCCGUCUUGCAAGUCAACUGCCAAGUAUGGAGAAAGAUUGACCCAGAGUGCUGGCUUCCUCGCCUGCCAAGCAACAUGAUGUUCCUAGUAGGGGGCUGGAGCAGUGGCCAGACUAUGUCUGCAAUAGAAGCAUUUGACCCCCGUGCCAACCGGUGGGUGCACCACCAGAACGAGUCAAUCUUCGA
This is a long non-coding RNA of Dermacentor silvarum, 675 nucleotides long. RefSeq lists it as uncharacterized. The record is from RefSeq and is a predicted model, not a curated record. The transcript is spliced from 3 exons. NCBI's taxonomy places the organism in Eukaryota, Metazoa, Arthropoda, Arachnida, Ixodida, Ixodidae.